RNAcentral lists this ribosomal RNA (101 nucleotides) under uncultured bacterium. RNAcentral describes it as "partial 16S ribosomal RNA". It matches the Rfam family "Bacterial small subunit ribosomal RNA", at positions 1386 to 1482 of the family's 1533-position model. The record is from RNAcentral.
CACACCGCCCGUCAUACCAUGGGAUUUGGUUUCACCUUAAGGCUGUAAGCUAACCUCUCACGAGGAGGCAGCAGACCACGGUGGGAUUAGAGACUGGGGUA